This 465-nucleotide ribosomal RNA is filed under the name uncultured bacterium. RNAcentral's name for it is "partial 16S ribosomal RNA". It matches the Rfam family "Bacterial small subunit ribosomal RNA", at positions 338 to 795 of the family's 1533-position model. The record is from RNAcentral.
CCUACGGGUGGCAGCAGUGGGGAAUAUUGCGCCAUGGGCGAAAGCCUGACGCAGCGACGCCGCGUGAGGGAUGAAGGUCUUCGGAUCGUAACCCUCUGUCAGCAGGGAAGAACGGUCACUGUGCUAAUCAGCAUUGAAUUGACGGUACCUGCAAAGGACGCACCGGCUAACUCCGUGCCCGCAGCCGCGGUAAUACUGAGGGUGCGAGCGUUAAUCGGACUUACUGGGCGUAAAGCGCUCGUAGGCGGUAUGUCAAGUCAAGGGUGAAAUCCCCGCGCUCAACGUGGGAACUGCCUUUGAAACUGGCAAACUGGAGUGUGUGAGAGGAUAGUGGAAUUCCAGGUGUAGGAGUGAAAUCCGUAGAUAUCUGGAGGAACAUCAGUGGCGAAGGCGACUAUCUGGCACAUAACUGACGCUGAGGAGCGAAAGCGUGGGUAGCAAACAGGAUUAGAUACCCGUGUAGUC